UACGUAGGGUGCAAGCGUUGUCCGGAAUCAUUGGGCGUAAAGAGCUCGUAGGCGGUCUGUCGCGUCUGCUGUGAAAACCUGGGGCUUAACCCUGGGCUUGCAGUGGGUACGGGCAGACUAGAGUGCGGUAGGGGAGACUGGAAUUCCUGGUGUAGCGGUGAAAUGCGCAGAUAUCAGGAGGAACACCGGUGGUGUAGACGGCUCUCUGGACCGUAACUGACGCUGAGGCACGAAAGCGUGGGUAGCAAACAGG
Molecule: ribosomal RNA, 253 nt
Filed under: uncultured bacterium
Lineage: Bacteria
Description: partial 16S ribosomal RNA
Rfam family: Bacterial small subunit ribosomal RNA
Source: RNAcentral